Molecule: ribosomal RNA, 253 nt
Filed under: uncultured bacterium
Lineage: Bacteria
Description: partial 16S ribosomal RNA
Rfam family: Bacterial small subunit ribosomal RNA
Source: RNAcentral
UACGUAGGGUGCGAGCGUUAAUCGGAAUUACUGGGCGUAAAGCGUGCGCAGGCGGCCCUGCAAGUCAGACGUGAAAUCCCCGGGCUUAACCUGGGAAUGGCGUUUGAAACUAUGGGGCUGGAGUGUGGCAGAGGGAGGUAGAAUUCCACGUGUAGCGGUGAAAUGCGUAGAUAUGUGGAGGAAUACCGAUGGCGAAGGCAGCCCCCUGGACCAACACUGACGCUCAUGCACGAAAGCGUGGGGAGCAAACAGG